UACGAAGGGGGCUAGCGUUGCUCGGAAUCACUGGGCGUAAAGGGUGCGUAGGCGGGUCUUUAAGUCAGGGGUGAAGUCCUGGAGCUCAACUCCAGAACUGCCUUUGAUACUGAGGAUCUUGAGUACGGGAGAGGUGAGUGGAACUGCGAGUGUAGAGGUGAAAUUCGUAGAUAUUCGCAAGAACACCAGUGGCGAAGGCGGCUCACUGGCCCGUAACUGACGCUGAGGCACGAAAGCGUGGGGAGCAAACAGG
RNAcentral lists this ribosomal RNA (253 nucleotides) under uncultured bacterium. RNAcentral describes it as "partial 16S ribosomal RNA". It matches the Rfam family "Bacterial small subunit ribosomal RNA", at positions 524 to 776 of the family's 1533-position model. The record is from RNAcentral.